This 213-nucleotide ribosomal RNA is filed under the name Triticum aestivum (bread wheat). RNAcentral's name for it is "partial small subunit ribosomal RNA". The record is from RNAcentral. Lineage: Eukaryota; Viridiplantae; Streptophyta; Magnoliopsida; Poales; Poaceae.
AUGUGUGCACCCAAGAGAGAUGGGGGACUAGGCUUUCGGGAUCCGGAAGCUUUCAAUCAAGCUCUUUUGGCGAAGCAAGCAUGGCGUAUUCUGCAAGUCCCGUCUUCACUUGUGGCUAGAGUAUUGAAAGCUCGGUAUUUCAAUGACAAUACAAUUUUGACAGCCACUUGUCCCUCGAAUGCAUCAGAUACAUUUAGGAGUAUUUUGCAUGGU